UAAUUGCUUGCAAAGGAAAAGUACAAUGGCCCCAUGCAUGCUUUGAGGAAAAAAAUCAUCUUCACAGCUUAAAGCUUUUUGUACAGCACAUCAGGCUAUCAUGAUAGCCCAUGUUACUCGGUUAAGUGGUCUCACAUCAGCUCGAAUGAGGAAUCUCGCUUUGUCUUGGGUGAUGAAGAUAGAAUUGCGUGACAAGCAAACAUGAAAUAAUGAAUUGCCUUGAAUAUU
Molecule: long non-coding RNA, 228 nt
Filed under: Citrus maxima (pomelo)
Lineage: Eukaryota; Viridiplantae; Streptophyta; Magnoliopsida; Sapindales; Rutaceae
Description: long non-coding RNA (CMAX_LNC003533)
Source: RNAcentral